This 55-nucleotide transfer RNA is filed under the name Gnathostoma nipponicum. RNAcentral describes it as "tRNA-Ala". Lineage: Eukaryota; Metazoa; Nematoda; Chromadorea; Rhabditida; Gnathostomatidae. The record is from RNAcentral.
AGGACUGUAUUUUAUUAUAAAAUAUUCUGUUUGCAUCGGAGAGAAUUGAGUUCUA